Molecule: long non-coding RNA, 302 nt
Organism: Mytilus trossulus (common blue mussel)
Lineage: Eukaryota; Metazoa; Mollusca; Bivalvia; Mytilida; Mytilidae
Exons: 3
Source: RefSeq, a predicted model, not a curated record
GACUGUCCAGGCAACACCCUAAUUACUUUUAAUGACAAAAUAUACAGUGUAUUGUGUACCAUCACCAAUAAUCAAAUGGCAUCGUUUUUAUGUGCUCAACGAGGACUAACACUUCUAUCUGUGGAAACUAGGGAGGAAAACAUCUUUAUGAAACGUAUAGCAUCAUUAAUUGAAGGUCAAGCAGACUGGUGGAUAGCUCUCAGUGACGUCAAUACCGAAGGCACGUUCGUGUGGGUUUCUGGUCAACCUUUGAAUUACACUGACUGGUAUCAAGGAACACCGACUCAACCAGAUGAUAGGGG